GAACUGCGAUAAGUAAUGUGAUUUGCAGAAUUCAGUGAAUCAUCGAGUCUUUGAACGCACAUUGCGCCCCCUGGCAUUCCGGGGGGCAUGCCUGUCCGAGCGUCAUUACUGCCCUUCAAGCCCGGCUUGUGUGUUGGGACGUCGUCCCCCCCGGGGGACGGACCGGAAAGGCAGCGGCGGCACCGUGUCCGGUCCUCGAGCGUAUGGGGCUUUGUCACCCGCUCGAUUAGGACCGGCCGGGCGCCCGCCGGCGUCAAACCCCAAUCUUUCUAAGGUUGACCUCGGAUCAGGUAGGGAUACCCGCUGAACUUAAGC
Molecule: unclassified non-coding RNA, 315 nt
Filed under: plant metagenome
Description: partial contains 5.8S ribosomal RNA, internal transcribed spacer 2, and large subunit ribosomal RNA
Rfam family: 5.8S ribosomal RNA (bases 1-105)
Source: RNAcentral